RNAcentral lists this long non-coding RNA (167 nucleotides) under Dasypus novemcinctus (nine-banded armadillo). RNAcentral's name for it is "lncRNA (ENSDNOG00000051868.1)". Lineage: Eukaryota; Metazoa; Chordata; Mammalia; Cingulata; Dasypodidae. The record is from RNAcentral.
GAAAAGCAGAAUGCUAUGAUGUGUAAGGUGAAAACUGGAAUGUAUCUAGGAUAUAUGGGACACCUGAACAAGCAUUGGCUUUUGCCCUGUGACAUCUUGAAAGGUACUACCCAACACUUUUCUCCCAGUGGAAUCCCCUGGUCCCUACUGCCUCCCACCAACCCCGC